RNAcentral lists this ribosomal RNA (134 nucleotides) under Micromonospora carbonacea. RNAcentral's name for it is "16S rRNA. Bacterial SSU". It matches the Rfam family "Bacterial small subunit ribosomal RNA", at positions 1 to 135 of the family's 1533-position model. The record is from RNAcentral. Lineage: Bacteria; Bacillati; Actinomycetota; Actinomycetes; Micromonosporales; Micromonosporaceae.
UUUUGUUGGAGAGUUUGAUCCUGGCUCAGGACGAACGCUGGCGGCGUGCUUAACACAUGCAAGUCGAGCGGAAAGGCCCUUCGGGGUACUCGAGCGGCGAACGGGUGAGUAACACGUGAGCAACCUGCCCUAGG